Molecule: transfer RNA, 23 nt
Filed under: Radula formosa var. spicata
Lineage: Eukaryota; Viridiplantae; Streptophyta; Jungermanniopsida; Radulales; Radulaceae
Description: Radula spicata partial tRNA-Gly
Source: RNAcentral
UUUAGUGGUAAAACUAGCCUUCC